CGAACUCGAUGACCCGCCGCUCCGCCGUCCUCAGCCCGAAGUACCGACGCUGUUCCCCGCCAUCCAAAAGGUGGCGCCCCGGCCACGCCGCCACGUCCCUGCACACUCCCGCCACGACGUCUACACGUGCGCCCGCCCGAAAGGUCAGCGCCGCCGGCCGCUUUGAGGAAUUACGACAAACAGGUGGCGGGCAUGCAUAUACUUACUCUUCUUCUUCUUCGUGAUCGUCCCGGCCACGUGCUUGCUCUUCAUCUUCAGCAUCACCUGCCACACACAGACGACUUCCCUCUCACUCAGUAUGGAUGGAUGGAUGGAUGGAUGGACAGAUAGUCAGCGCGUUUUAUUACAUAGAUUUCUACGAGGGGAUGGAGGAAGAGAGGGGCUGACCUGGCCCGUCUUGUUGAUGUAGACGGAGACCACCUUCCAGUGCAGAUCACCUGCGGAGGGAGGGAGGACGGCGGGGUCAACGCGGCUACUAGAAAGUCAACAUGCAGCAGCGGCAGCGGCGGCGGCGGCGGCUUCUUACCUUUGCGGGUGCGCUUCAGGAGCUCGGUCCCCC
Molecule: long non-coding RNA, 559 nt
Filed under: Spirodela polyrhiza (greater duckweed)
Lineage: Eukaryota; Viridiplantae; Streptophyta; Magnoliopsida; Alismatales; Araceae
Description: long non-coding RNA (SPOL_LNC001605)
Source: RNAcentral